RNAcentral lists this long non-coding RNA (672 nucleotides) under Numida meleagris (helmeted guineafowl). Its description in RNAcentral is "lncRNA (ENSNMEG00000010801.1)". The record is from RNAcentral. Lineage: Eukaryota; Metazoa; Chordata; Aves; Galliformes; Numididae.
GCAGUGCUGGGCCCAAGGUCUGCGGCCCUGGGCAGCUCAAGCAGUGGGAAGCAGCCAAAGAGGGAGUGACAGCUGUGUCAACACCCAGUCCCAUUGCGUGUACUCAUUAAGGAAAAGGCAUGCAAAUGAAAAGCUUCUCUACCAGAAAGUUCAGUCAUUUGGGUACGGCACUCCAACGAGAUAUCUGGAUGACACUGCCUUCGUAAGGAGGAUGUCAGAUGCAGAGACAGUGAAGGAAUGGGAUACAACAUCAGAAGGGAACCCAGAUAAACUUCAGAAUUGUCUCAAUGUCCCUCUGCUGCCACUGAUUCUGUGCUGUUGGACCACACACGGACAGCGCAUCCUCAGGUUCAUCAGUGAGCCAAAAUAAAUUCUCAUCAUCUCACUGGAUGUCUUCACAUUCAGGACUUGAUAGAAGCUGUGACUUCCUACAGAAUAAGGAUAAAGAAUAUUGAGAAGGCAGAGAGCAGGCUGGAGAACACAGUGCAACCAGAGGCGACUGCUCAGGAACCACCAGCUGAGAAUGAAAUUGCAGUGUGGGUAUUGCCACUGCUUCUUCUUUGCAUUAAUGCGAGGAGUAAGAUUGAGGGUGACCAUGCAUUUUAUUUAAUGAUGAGAGAAACUGCCACUGUCUAUGGGAAUAAAAAGACAUAAUGUGUAGCUGGAGUAUCA